GAAAACCAUACUACAAGAAUGAAUGCAAAGAAAAGAAAAGAAAAGGAUUUGCUGAAGCAGAUCCCGUCUAUCCAUUGUUUGAAAAUAUGUAAACACUGAAGAGAAAAAUGAAGAUUUAAUGCCUCUGCGCGUAGACGUCUAUCCCCGAUUUCUAUCUAUUCUCAAACGUCGGGUCAACUUUUUGAUGGCGAGAAUCAAAGAAUAAAAAGAACAUGAAAAGGAAGGUGUAUGGGAUGUUAAGAAGAUGGAGGGAAGAGUUGUGACUUAAAGAAAAAAGAAAAAAAAACGGACUGCUAUCCACCGAAACAAGUCAUGCAAUAAUAGAAUGAUAAAGGAAAGAAGGAAAUCCCAUAACAUAUCGAAAGGUGAGGGGGGAAAUAAGUAAUAUGGGACAAAUACCAGAAAGCCAUAGAGAAAAGAGAGAGAGAAACCACCCCUGAAGAGAAAAUAUAACGAAGAUAAAAGAUGAAAAAAGCUUAACAACACAAGACGGACAGAUAAAGGUCAAAGCAAAAGAAACAAGCGAAGUGAUUAAAAAUAAUAAAUGACCAAUUAAGGGUAAAACAAAAUAAACCAAACCAAACCAAACCAAAAGUCGAGCGAUGCACAAUAAUUAUAUCAAAUUAAACACAAUAACCACACGGCAUACCGAAAGAGCAACGUGGAAGGGGGAG
Molecule: small RNA, 674 nt
Filed under: Histoplasma capsulatum var. duboisii H88
Lineage: Eukaryota; Fungi; Ascomycota; Eurotiomycetes; Onygenales; Ajellomycetaceae
Description: Histoplasma capsulatum H88 hypothetical RNA
Source: RNAcentral